RNAcentral lists this ribosomal RNA (469 nucleotides) under uncultured bacterium. RNAcentral describes it as "SSU rRNA". It matches the Rfam family "Bacterial small subunit ribosomal RNA", at positions 26 to 518 of the family's 1533-position model. The record is from RNAcentral.
AGGAUAAACGCUGGCGGCGUGCCUAACACAUGCAAGUCGAACGUCUCUUUCUUCGGGAAGAGGAGUGGCGGACGGGUGAGGAACACGUGGGAACCUGCCCUUUAGUGAGGAAUACCGGCGAGAAAUCGCCGACAAGACCGCAUAGCCCUCUUUGAUGAGAGUCAAAGAAGGAAAGCUUCGCAAGAGGCGCUAGAGGAGGGGCCUGCGUCCGAUUAGCUAGUUGGUGGGGUAAGAGCCUACCAAGGCGUCGAUCGGUAGCUGGUCUGAGAGGACGAUCAGCCACACUGGGAUUGAGAACGGCCCAGACUCCUACGGGGGCAGCAGUGAGGAAUUUUCGGCAAUGGGGGAAACCCUGACCGAGCAACGCCGCGUGCAGGAAGACGGCCUUCGGUUGUAAACUGCUUUUCUUUGGGAAGAGAACGGACGGUACCAGAGGAAUCAGCCCGGCUCACUACGUGCCAGCAGCCGC